This 53-nucleotide transfer RNA is filed under the name Diploscapter coronatus. Its description in RNAcentral is "tRNA-Gly". The record is from RNAcentral. Lineage: Eukaryota; Metazoa; Nematoda; Chromadorea; Rhabditida; Rhabditidae. RNAcentral also lists the same sequence under 1 other name.
CAGUUUAUAGUAUAAAAAGUAUUUUUUUCUUCCAAAAAAAAGGUUUAAACUGA